Non-coding RNA from Danionella cerebrum, 71 nucleotides. The record is from the annotation of a GenBank genome assembly. NCBI's taxonomy places the organism in Eukaryota, Metazoa, Chordata, Actinopteri, Cypriniformes, Danionidae.
UUUCCUGUGGCUCAGUUGGUAGAGCAUUACACGAACAACGCAAAGGUCGUGGGUUCAUAUACCGAGGAAAG